This 578-nucleotide long non-coding RNA is filed under the name Nicotiana tabacum (common tobacco). RNAcentral describes it as "long non-coding RNA (NTAB_LNC000945)". The record is from RNAcentral. Lineage: Eukaryota; Viridiplantae; Streptophyta; Magnoliopsida; Solanales; Solanaceae.
GCAGUAGACUUUUCCAACAACUUUAACGAUCAAGGAAUGAUGAGGAGGAUAGUAAGGAGUUGGGGGUGGUGGUGAAGUGUAGUAGUAAGGUGGAGGAGGUGACUUAACUGGUGGUGGAGGGGAGGAGUAGUAGUAAGGUGGAGGAGGUGACUUAACUGGUGGGGGAGGGGAGGAGUAGUAGUAAGGAGGAGGAGGUGACUUAACUGGUGGUGGAGGGGAAGAGUAGUAGUACGGUGGUGGAGGUGACUUAACUGGUGGUGGAGGAGAGGAGUAGUAGUACGGUGGAGGAGGUGACUUAACUGGUGGUGGAGGGGAGGAGUAGUAGUACGGUGGAGGAGGUGACUUAGCAGGUGGUGGUGGGGACUUGUAAUAGUAAGGUGGUGGGGGAGAGGGUGAAGGGGGUGGUGGUGAUUUAUAGUAGUAUGGUGGAGGUGGUGAUGGAGAAGGUGGUGGGGGAGACUUGUAAUAAUAAGGUGGAGGUGGUGAAGGUGAAGGUGGUGGCGGGGAUUUGUAGUAAUAUGGUGGUGGAGGUGAUGGUGAAGGAGGUGGUGGUGAUUUAUAUACAUAUGGUGGUGGUG